ACAGGGAGAUACUUGAGCAAGAAGACCUGCAGGAUAUUGCAUACAGGUUGUGUUUAAUGGCCUUGUGUAAACGGACAGUCUCCCAAAAACAAAACACCAAAACAUUACACUUGAACUUAAGACUAGACUACAUGACAGAGCAAUCCAAAGCUCUGCCCGGCGGGCUGGUGAUGUGUUUUGAUGUAAAUCAGCACUGAGGGCGGAUAUUGCUAUUGCUGCUGCUGCUGCUGCUGGUGGGAAGGUGGCUGAGCCUGAGUAAUUAUAUCAUUAGAGCAACUCCUGUGAAAGAGCAUGUCAUUUAAACCCGGGGGUGGCGGGCUAUGGACGGGAUGAAUGGUAGUAAUUGUCACCCGGGGCUACAUAUAAUUGCAGAGAGAGGGAAAGAGGAUUAGGAGCAGCCAAAGCUAGUCGGUGCCGCUGGGACUCGACUCUUGAGUCAGAUGAAGCCUGUGUGCCAAGCAGCCAUUCAGCCCUGCGAGAUGAAGUCCAAGCCACAAGGUGGAGAUCCGACAGCGCUGGGAGCCCAGAACGGCCGUUCCCUACUGACCUCGGCACAUGUGCGCUCCCAGAGGGUCACAACAUCCUGCUCACUGACCACAACAUCCAAACAAACUCUUUUAUGACAUUAUCAGCAACAGGAAACACACAACACCCCUGGGUGCCCAGAAAGGCUUAUUCCAACAUGAUCUUGUUUAGUUGCUUCAUGUGCUUCUUUCACUGUUACUGUUAUAGCGUUUCUCUGCACUAGGUCCUCAGUAUUGCCUUUGAACAUUUUUUUCCACCUCAUUGCACAAACACUGAUAAACAAGUGGCAGGCAAACAUCCUGAGUGGUAUUACGCUCAAUAGCAGGUGCUUGGUGUUCCUGUAAACUGCUCUGGUCGAGUGGAAAGGUAAACAGCACAACCUGAUGACAAAUCUCUGGACGCAUGCCUUGAGAUAACACCGAUGGCAAACAAGAGGCGCGCUGCAGCACAUUGCAAAGGCGUUUGGAGGUGUCGGCCUCUCUGCAUCUUUUUCUGUGGGAAAAAAAGCGACAACACAAGUGCAGUGUCUCUCCCACACACAGGUUUAUAUGCAUAUACUGAAUUUUCUUAUGAGAUCUCUUGCUUGCAACUGAGUGCCAACUGGAGGUAUGCCACAAAAGGAGAGGGAGCACAGGGAUAUUGAAUCAUCAGACAGUACUAAGCUGAGAUAAUGUCUUUGGUCCACUGGCUGUGAAAGCAAGCGAGCAGUUGGAUCACCGAGCCACCCACCUCACACCGUCUGUCUUUGCAAACGACUUUCUUCUGUCAAUCAAGACUUUAUUACAGGAUAAAGUGCACAAAUACAGCUCAUCCCAAAGGAAAAACAUGAACAUGACUCUUGAGCCCCACAAGUUCAGGCAUGUGAACAGCAAAGAGAAAUGUAAUACAACUUGCAAAUUGCUUUUGAGAAUACUGGCACAAAACAAUCAGAUUGUGGGGGAAUUUUUUCUCACUUACAGUGCUUCCUUUGGAUGUCAAUCUGUCAGGCAGGAAAUACCACCAUGAGCCGACACUGAUAAGGACAAGAAGCUGAACCACGGCCACGUGGUAAACGAUGCCAGAAAAUAGGGGUAACAUAUACUCUGGUAUGCUCUGUGUUUACGUACGUGUACGGUAUGUACGGCUUUAGUAUGCAUGCACCGUGGAAAUCUUUGUAAUGCUUUAAUGUAUCCAAAGCACAUCAUGAACAAUUAUCAAGUUGUUUAUCUGACUCUGAAAUGUAGCUGCGAGCAAGACGAUUUUUUGAGAGUUCGAUGAGACGAUUGAUACUCUCAUGUGCAGUAAGCUACAGCGAGCAGCCAUUUGGCAUGGCACAAAGACUGGAAACAGCUCGCCUGGCUUUGGUCAAAGUUCAAAUAUUUACUUUCAAACAAAUACCUCUAAAGCUCAUGAAUUAACAUGUUAUAUUUUGUUUGUUUAUUUGGAAAGAAAACAUGUGUAAAGGCCCAGAUUGCUCAUUGCCUGCAAAUAGUCUGCUACCUAACAAUGUUUUUGCUUUUGCACCUCUUCUGUACACAUAAAACAAACAAGUUUUGUGGCCAUGUUUUACAUUCUUUCAGAUCUUUCAGCCACAUCUUGUGACUUUCAUUGGAGGGGGAAUUUGCCAUUGAGAGAGAA
This is a long non-coding RNA of Scatophagus argus, 2142 nucleotides long. RefSeq lists it as uncharacterized. The record is from RefSeq and is a predicted model, not a curated record. Lineage: Eukaryota; Metazoa; Chordata; Actinopteri; Scatophagidae. The transcript has 5 exons.